GGGGGGACGGAGAAGGCUAGGUGGGCCUGGCGACGGUUGUCCAGGUUCAAGUGCGUAGGCUUAAGAGUUAGGUAAAUCCGGCUCUUUUUAAGGCUGAGACACGACGUCGAGCUACUACGGUAGUGAAGUCAUUGAUGCCAUGCUUCCAGGAAAAGCCUCUAAGCUUCAGAUUGUAAGGAAUCGUACCCCAAACCGACACAGGUGGUCGGGUAGAGAAUACCA
RNAcentral lists this ribosomal RNA (222 nucleotides) under Vibrio parahaemolyticus. RNAcentral describes it as "partial 23S ribosomal RNA". It matches the Rfam family "Bacterial large subunit ribosomal RNA", at positions 1466 to 1683 of the family's 2925-position model. Lineage: Bacteria; Pseudomonadati; Pseudomonadota; Gammaproteobacteria; Vibrionales; Vibrionaceae. The record is from RNAcentral.